RNAcentral lists this ribosomal RNA (713 nucleotides) under uncultured Bacteroidales bacterium. RNAcentral's name for it is "bacterial SSU rRNA". It matches the Rfam family "Bacterial small subunit ribosomal RNA", at positions 50 to 752 of the family's 1533-position model. The record is from RNAcentral. Lineage: Bacteria; Pseudomonadati; Bacteroidota; Bacteroidia; Bacteroidales.
AACACAUGCAAGUCGAGGGGCAGCAUGGUCUUAGCUUGCUAAGGCCGAUGGCGACCGGCGCACGGGUGAGUAACACGUAUCCAACCUGCCGUCUACUCUUGGACAGCCUUCUGAAAGGAAGAUUAAUACAAGAUGGCAUCAUGAGUCCGCAUGUUCACAUAAUUAAAGGUAUUCCGGUAGACGAUGGGGAUGCGUUCCAUUAGAUAGUAGGCGGGGUAACGGCCCACCUAGUCUUCGAUGGAUAGGGGUUCUGAGAGGAAGGUCCCCCACAUUGGAACUGAGACACGGUCCAAACUCCUACGGGAGGCAGCAGUGAGGAAUAUUGGUCAAUGGGCGCAGGCCUGAACCAGCCAAGUAGCGUGAAGGAUGACUGCCCUAUGGGUUGUAAACUUCUUUUAUAAAGGAAUAAAGUCGGGUAUGGAUACCCGUUUGCAUGUACUUUAUGAAUAAGGAUCGGCUAACUCCGUGCCAGCAGCCGCGGUAAUACGGAGGAUCCGAGCGUUAUCCGGAUUUAUUGGGUUUAAAGGGAGCGUAGAUGGAUGUUUAAGUCAGUUGUGAAAGUUUGCGGCUCAACCGUAAAAUUGCAGUUGAUACUGGAUAUCUUGAGUGCAGUUGAGGCAGGCGGAAUUCGUGGUGUAGCGGUGAAAUGCUUAGAUAUCACGAAGAACUCCGAUUGCGAAGGCAGCCUGCUAAGCUGCAACUGACAUUGAGGC